UAUGGGAAAACCCACUGAACUGAAGCAUCUCAAUAAGAGGAGGAAAAUAAACUAACUAGGAUACUCUUAGUAAGUGCGACCGAAGAGAGUAAAGCUCAAUAAUCUAAACUUUAAAUUUUUAUAAUUUAAAGUCAUGUGAUUUUCUAAACUCAUUGAAAUUUUUAUAAAUUAUGAUUGAAUUCAUAACUAUAAAGAGUUAUAGUCUCGUUAUUUAAAAUUUCAAGCAUGGGAAUUAGAAUUAAAGAGUCGGGUAGCUUGAGAAUGCUGCCUUAAUAUAGGUGGUACACCCCAUCUAAAGCUAAAUAUUGUAAAGAGACCGAUAGCAUACAAGUAGUGUGAACGAAAGAUGAAAAGAACUCCUAAACGGAGAAUUAAAAGCGCCUGAACUUGUCUAGGUUUUCGCAUUUCUUUAAUGCGCCCGUCUUGAAACACGGAUUAGGGAGUUUUACUUAAAUACGAGUCUUUAACUUUUAAAGUAAUUUUUUUAAAAAAGGCGAAAAGAAAUUAACUGGUUUUUUUAACAUGGCUAUAGAGUAUUUAAGUCAAAACCCGAAUGGAGGUGAACUAUUCCUGCAAAGAUUGAAGUCAGGGGAAACUCUGAUGGAAGAUCGUUGGCGUUAUUGAUGUGCAAAUCAUUUGCUUUAUGUAGGUAUAGGUGCGAAAGACUCAUCGAACCUCCUAAUAGCUGGUUUCCUCCGAAGUUUCCCUCAGGAUAGCUGUAACAUUUUUAAAUAGUUAAGGAUAGUAGAGAAAUGGGUAGAGGUGUAGUGGAACUACGGUUCUGCAACUUAUUUCCAAACUUCGAACGUUCUUGAUAUAAAAAAUUACCUAAUAGGAAUUUUUUAUUUAAAUAUAUGUUAUAAGUGGGCUCUGACCGGUAAGCGGUCAUGGCGAAAAGGGAUGAACCUAACGUAUAAAUAAGGUGCCUAAAUUUACUAACAAUGAAACCAUUAAAAGAGUCCAUGUAUUUAGACAGCGGGUCGGUGCCCCUAAAAGCAGGUAUCCGUUAAUGAGUGUGUUAAAACUCCCCCGCCGAAUACUCUGGCCUUGAAAAUGAAUGGCGCAUAUAGUAAUACCGAUAUUAUACAUUAAAAUUAUUUAAAAAUUUUAAAAGUAGGGGGAUGUGGAUAUCUUAGAGAAUUUUUAAUUGUAAAAUUGAAUUGAAAGAUAUCUAUUACAGAUCCUAAUUGAAGUAGCGAUUAUCCAGGUUAAUCUCCUGGGGGCUGAUGAGGAGUAGGGUUUCUGGGCAACUUAAACGGACCCAGAGUUAGUCGAUCCUAAUCAAAUUAAAUUUAGAGAAAGGGAAUAUGAAUGAUAUUUCAUAACUAAAAUUAAUUUUUAAAUGGUGACAUUUUUUUAAACUUAUUUCCAUCAAUUAAAUACUGUUUAAUAGGGAUUUCUUUCCUAUAUAACUUUUUAAUUAAAACUUAAGAAACAGGUUAACUGGAGAAUAAAGUUUUAAUUUAGUAAAAUUAUAAUUUCGAUUAUAAUAACGGCUAUUUAAAUGAUCCAUGAAACAAUAAGUUUAUUUUUUCAAAAAUUAAUUUAAUCGUACCGAUAACCGCAUCAGGUCUCCAAGGUGAGUAGCUUCUGGCCAUUGAGUAAUGGUAAUUUAGGGAAUUCGGCCAAUUAGAGCUGUAACUUCGGGAUAAAGCUUGGCUCUGAUGGAAAUCAGAACCGAUAGUUACAAGGAGAGCCCAACUGUUUAAUAAAAACUUAGUGUCGCGUCAUACCUUUAUAAGUAAUAAACGUGACAUGAAUCCUGCUCAGUGCUGUGUUUGUUAAACUGGAUUAAUCCAUUUAAGCGCCGGUAAAUAGCUGGGGUAACUAUGACUCUUAUCAAAGUAGCGAAAUACCUCGUCACUUAAUUAGUGACCUGCAUGAACGGAGCUAUGAGGUUCUCACUGUCCCAAAUUAUCACUCAGCGAACCAACAGUUGUGGGAACGGGCACAAAUUAUCCAGCGGGGAAAGAAGACCCUGUAGAGCUUCACUUUGGUCUAAUCUUGUAUAGUUUCGUUAGGGGUGCAGUCUAGGUGGGAGAUUUUUAAUCAAAUAUGAGAAACCACUACCCUUUCUGGAAUUAUACUUACUAAAAUUCUUUUAUAAAUUUUAGGAUCGGAUUAGAUAGAAAGUUUGGCUGGGGCGGCACACCUUCGAAAAAGCAGCGAAGGUGUCCUAAGUUAAGCUCAGUAAGGACAGAAAUCUUACGUUGAGGAUAAGGCCAAAAGCUUAAUUUACUGUGCCUUUUUGUACUAGGAUCAGUUUGGAAACAAAGGCCUAACGAUCCCUAAUUAGUCUUAGGUGUGUAAGACUUGGGGUGACAGACAAGUUACCUCCGGGACAACUGGCUUGUGGCUGCUA
Molecule: ribosomal RNA, 2362 nt
Filed under: human gut metagenome
Description: eukaryotic LSU rRNA
Rfam family: Eukaryotic large subunit ribosomal RNA
Source: RNAcentral